AUCAGUACCGCAGGUCUUGAAAAAGACCUUGCUGGGUAAAGCACAUAUGCCUGUCUCAGGUAAUGUGUAUAACCACUUGUUGAAAUACUUUACAUCUGCUGCGGCUGCACUCUCCGCUUAAACUCGGAGGGGUAAGGCUGCCGGUAGCAUUUAAUAAAAACUAGUUGAUGAAAUGUCAUGCCGUCUGAUACUGUUUAGUAUUUGAGAAAUCGAAUAACUAUUA
RNAcentral lists this unclassified non-coding RNA (223 nucleotides) under uncultured Orbiliales. Its description in RNAcentral is "sequence contains ITS1". Lineage: Eukaryota; Fungi; Ascomycota; Orbiliomycetes; Orbiliales. The record is from RNAcentral.